CAUUACCGAGUUUACAACUCCCAAACCCAAUGUGAACGUUACCAAACUGUUGCCUCGGCGGGGUCACGCCCCGGGUGCGUAAAAGCCCCGGAACCAGGCGCCCGCCGGAGGAACCAACCAAACUCUUUCUGUAGUCCCCUCGCGGACGUAUUUCUUACAGCUCUGAGCAAAAAUUCAAAAUGAAUCAAAACUUUCAACAACGGAUCUCUUGGUUCUGGCAUCGAUGAAGAACGCAGCGAAAUGCGAUAAGUAAUGUGAAUUGCAGAAUUCAGUGAAUCAUCGAAUCUUUGAACGCACAUUGCGCCCGCCAGUAUUCUGGCGGGCAUGCCUGUCCGAGCGUCAUUUCAACCCUCGAACCCCUCCGGGGGAUCGGCGUUGGGGAUCGGGACCCCUCACCGGGUGCCGGCCCUGAAAUACAGUGGCGGUCUCGCCGCAGCCUCUCCUGCGCAGUAGUUUGCACAACUCGCACCGGGAGCGCGGCGCGUCCACGUCCGUAAAACACCCAA
Molecule: unclassified non-coding RNA, 506 nt
Filed under: Trichoderma hamatum
Lineage: Eukaryota; Fungi; Ascomycota; Sordariomycetes; Hypocreales; Hypocreaceae
Description: partial contains 18S rRNA, ITS1, 5.8S rRNA, ITS2 and 28S RNA
Rfam family: 5.8S ribosomal RNA (bases 189-342)
Source: RNAcentral